RNAcentral lists this long non-coding RNA (1087 nucleotides) under Oryctolagus cuniculus (rabbit). RNAcentral's name for it is "lncRNA (ENSOCUG00000031348.1)". The record is from RNAcentral. Lineage: Eukaryota; Metazoa; Chordata; Mammalia; Lagomorpha; Leporidae.
AUACAAUAUAAACAGAAAAAUGAAUUGUAAGUUGGUUGAUUUAAAUCCAAAUAUAUCAGUAAUUUCAUUAAACAUAAAUGGACUAAAUGCUUAAACUAAAAGAAGAAAAUACUGUCAGAUUUGAUUGAAAUGAGCCAAGCUUUAUGCUGUUUUAAAGGUACAUCUUAGGGGCUGGUGCUGUGGUGCAGUAGGUUAAAGCCCUGGCCUGAAGCACCGGCAUCCCAUAUGGGCGCUAGUUCUAGUCCUGGCUGCUCCUCUUCUGAUCCAACAACUGGAUGGAGUUCUGGACUUCUGGCUUCAGCCUGGCUCAGUCCUGUUCAUUGUGGCCCAUUUGAGGAGUGAAUCAACAGAUGGAAGAUCUCAAAAUCUCUUUCUCUCGCCUGUCUCUGUCUCUUCCUCUUUCUCUGUCAGUCUGCCUUUCAAGCAAACUUUUUAAAUCUUAAGAGAAGAAAAGAACAGAAGGAUAGGCUGCUUGCCAUUCCCCAGGAUUAAAUCCAGUUCACGUAGCUCUGCAUUCCCAAACACCAAGAGCACCUUCGGGGCACGGAUUAUGGACUCACAGAGCAGCACUGUCCAGUAGGAUUCUCUGUGAUGCUGGAAACGCCGCAUCUGUACAGGAGGUGCAGGCCAUAUGUGACCUAGGGAGUGAAUUUUCAAUUUUAGUUCAUUUUUAAAUUAAUUUUAAUCUAAUUUGAUUGUUUUCCUUUUUUUAGGUCCUGAAACCGGAAAACAUGAGAAUACUGCGUCAUCCCACAUACUGGGGGAUCAUGUGAAAGAACGAACUUGGAAGUUAUUUUCAGCUCCAAAUGUUAUUGUUUCUGUUGAAGACAAGGGGAAAAAACGAGUUUCUUUCUGGAAGACACAGACUGUUGUCCUAGGCACCGCCUUUUCUUAUUUUUAUAUGUUCUUCUGUUGGGAUUUUUAUUGAAAUGGGCCUGUGGGGAGAAGGUUGAAUCCAGAAAACUUCACCUAGAUAAAGAGGAACUGGAUAAUUUCCCCACUGUUAUGUAAAGCAACUUACAAAUGUAUUUGCAUUAAUGGUGUUUGUUCAUAAGAGUGAAUAAACUAUUUAGAUUUUUUUUCCCCA